Molecule: long non-coding RNA, 561 nt
Organism: Fundulus heteroclitus (mummichog)
Lineage: Eukaryota; Metazoa; Chordata; Actinopteri; Cyprinodontiformes; Fundulidae
Exons: 4
Source: RefSeq, a predicted model, not a curated record
UUAGGUCCGCCCAGCCUAAUGGUAAGCAGCGCUACUUCUAGCAAUUCUCCGGGUUCUUCCUUCAGAGUACUCACUCACUCUCUCUUGCAGACUUUCCAGCCGUGACGUUCUGACCCAGCCGAUUCACCUGUAGUUCCAAUUUCUAAAAGGGUGUCUUGAAGAUGACAGUUGGCAUUGUUAUCUGAGGUCAAGAAGAGACAUAACGAUAAAGUGGUAAAAGAAAAGAUGGCCAAGACGUUCGUAUACAGGAGACAGGAGGUUGUCAAAGACAAGCCCAUGGUUGCGGAAUUCAAGAUCAGAUGGCCAGGAUUGUUCACUGUGGCAGAGGUGGAAGCAGAAUUUGUGAGGAUCACUACUGGUCCCCUUGUUCCAUGCACAGCUUGACCAACACACUGCCCAGCUCAUUGGUGUUUAAUAAAAAGGGAGGCUCUACAGGGACUAAAAUCAGAAGAACUCUGGUCCCAAUCACACAGAAAACUGCUAAAGAGAAGGGGGUGCAUCCUCAGGGCACUUUGUAUCUAUCUAAAUGAAGAACCGAACAUCCUUUUCAAAGAAUACCAG